Molecule: ribosomal RNA, 255 nt
Filed under: Escherichia coli
Lineage: Bacteria; Pseudomonadati; Pseudomonadota; Gammaproteobacteria; Enterobacterales; Enterobacteriaceae
Description: partial 23S ribosomal RNA
Rfam family: Bacterial large subunit ribosomal RNA
Source: RNAcentral
CUUGACACUGAACAUUGAGCCUUGAUGUGUAGGAUAGGUGGGAGGCUUGGAAGUGUGGACGCCAGUCUGCAUGGAGCCGACCUUGAAAUACCACCCUUUAAUGUUUGAUGUUCUAACGUUGACCCGUAAUCCGGGUUGCGGACAGUGUCUGGUGGGUAGUUUGACUGGGGCGGUCUCCUCCUAAAGAGUAACGGAGGAGCACGAAGGUUGGCUAAUCCUGGUCGGACAUCAGGAGGUUAGUGCAAUGGCAUAAGC